This 497-nucleotide ribosomal RNA is filed under the name uncultured bacterium. Its description in RNAcentral is "partial 16S ribosomal RNA". It matches the Rfam family "Bacterial small subunit ribosomal RNA", at positions 28 to 507 of the family's 1533-position model. The record is from RNAcentral.
GAUGAACGCUGGCGGCGUGCCUAAUACAUGCAAGUCGAGCGAACAGACGAGUAGCUUGCUCCUCUGACGUUAGCGGCGGACGGGUGAGUAACACGUGGAUAACCUACCUAUAAGACUGGGAUAACUUCUGGAAACCGGAGCUAAUACCGGAUAAUAUAUUGAACCGCAUGGUUCAAUAGUGAAAGACGGUUUUGCUGUCACUUAUAGAUGUAUCCGCGCCGCAUUAGCUAGUUGGUAAGGUAACGGCUUACCAAGGCGACGAUGCGUAGCCGACCUGAGAGGGUGAUAGGCCACACUGGAACUGAGACACGGUCCAGACUCCUACGGGAGGCAGCAGUAGGGAAUCUUCCGCAAUGGGAGAAAGCCAGACGGAGCAACGCCGCGUGAGUGAUGAAGGUCUUCGGAUCGUAAAACUCUGUUAUUAGGGAAGAACAAAUGUGUAAGUAACUAUGCACGUCUUGACGGUACCUAAUCAGAAAGCCACGGCUAACUACGUG